ACUUCCCUCUGGAGCUGGGCAAGGCACUGGGGAAACGUGGGCCUGAGCAGGACUUUGCAGCCAAGGCCACUGGACUAGCUUGAGAGUCCUGGGCAGCAUCCAGGCACGGGCUCCAGGCCUUCUGCCCCAGCUCGAGGUGCCAUAGCAGGUGCCUCUCAUGGGAUUGGGGCAAGUGGCACAGUCUUGAGGCUCCCCCAGUCAGACCCUUCCCCCUUCUCCCCAGGCCAUGGUGGGCAGGUGGCCACUUCCGUUGCUGCCUGUGUCUGAGGACAUUGGCCCAGGGUUGGCAAGAAGAGGAAGGUGUUGCAUCAACAUGCAGCACAUUCACCUGACAAGGAGCUGGCCGCAGCCUCCGCUGCCAAACGGUGACGGUGCUGGCUGGUGCCCCCAGGAGCUGUUCACCACCUCCCGGGCUAAUGGCGCUUGCUGCCUGGCACACAGCAGGUGACUACACUGCAUGGCUUAUAAAUGUGGCCUCUGCCAGGAAAUCCUGGGAAAGAGCCAGGGAGGUGACGUUUUAUCCACGAGCCUGCUAUGGCUUAGCCUAGCCCUCCCCUAACUGUGACCAAGCUCUGGAUGAGACACAGACAACUACUGAGGACCUGCAAAGUAAGGAGACUGCAGGGCGGAGGCGGAACUUGGAGGAGUGACCUGCCGUGGAGUUUCUGGUUUCCUCCUUGUGGCUUUGUCUGGAGGGCAAGCCCCACUCUCAGAUCCACAUGGCAACACAAGCAGCUAAAACGCAGAUAGAAACCCCAACCUGGGAAAAGGAGUCCUACAGCAACUUUUCAGAAGCUUCAGAAGAAGGACGCCGGAGAAUGCCCGCCCGGGACUCCGAGGUGCCCUGUGCUCAUGGAUUGGUCCUCCUGGCUCCAUGAGUGUGAGUGAGUGUCUGCAGGUCCCUGGCACAAAAGCUGCAGUGCUGAGCAGGUGGCUAAUGGCCCUGGCUGGGUGAUUUUGGACAAGUCACCUUUGCCUCUCUGGCCUCCAUUGUCCCUCUGUCAAACAGGCCCCACGACAGCAAGCGUUGGUUAUUGUGUCUAUGGUCAACAUCCCACCUGCCUUUCUGGGCAGAGACGUUUGGGAGCAGUGGCUGUAUCCCUGAGCACGUCGUAAGGGCACUUUCCUGCAUGCCCUGGCUGGAGGGACCUGUUGCUGGGAAAACUCCCCAGAGUGUGAACCGGCGGCGGCUCCACCAUCUGGGUGCCGUGGGCAUGGUGCAUGGCGGGAAGGAGGCCGGCACCACAGAAGGGUGGCAGCUGUCCCCGGAAGGCUCUCCCCUGAGGGCGCCCAGGGCUCCACCGCUAGCCAGCCAUCUCCUUGCAGUAAGGCACGUUUCCUCCAGAUCCUCUCGGAACUGCCGGGAGUGGCUGCCCCACCCGCCCAGCUCUCCCUGGGUCCUGCCAGGCAGGGAAGCGUGAACCGAGACGGGCUCGGGAUGGCUCUCAGGCCCUCCCUGCUCUCAGCACCAAGGGAGGCACCCAGAGACUGAUCUGUGGGGGCAACGGAGACUCCGGGUCCCCCCACCAGGAUACGUCCCCUUUCUUUGCAUCUGAUGCUGACACACACAUACGAGGAGCCCAGAGGCAGAAACGGGACUCAGAGCCUGACGCUGAGGCUGGUGUGUGGGGCUGCCUCUCCCAGUGCUGAGGCUGGCGUGUGGGGGCUUCCUCUCCCGACACUGAGGCUGGCGUGUGGGGCUGCUUCUCCCGACGCUGAGGCUGGCGUGUGGGGCUUCCUCUCCCGACGCUGAGGCUGGCGUGUGGGGCUUCCUCUCCCGACGCUGAGGCUGGUGUGUGGGGCGGCCUCUCCUGGUGCUGAGGCUGGCAUGUGGGGCGGUCUCUCCCGACCUUGAGGCUGGCAUGUGGGGCUUCCUCUCCCGACGCUGAGGCUGGCGUGUGGGGCUUCCUCUCCCAACCUUGAGGCUGGCAUGUGGGGCUUCCUCUCCCGACGCUGAGGCUGGCAUGUGGGGCGCCCUCUCCCGACCUUGAGGCUGGCAUGUGGGGCUUCCUCUCCUGACCUUGAGGCUGGCAUGUGGGGCUUCCUCUCCCGACGCUGAGGCUGGCGUGUGGGGCGGCCUCUCGGGAGCAGGCGGCCUCGGGGAUCCUGGGGGUCAGCAGCCCCUCCACAGCUGCACCUCCCGGGACUGACCCUGCAGAACCCACCUCCCGCCAGCCCCUCCACAGCAGGACAGCACCCGCCUCCUUUUCCAAGGCCGCCUCGCCCAGUGGAGGCUGCAGCUCUACUGGGUGUGAGUCAGGAGGAAACGCUCGCAGCCAACACAGGCAGGACACGCCCACGUGACAUCGGAUCCCACGGGGAGGAGUCCACUGGGCAAAUCUGAACAAUGUGGGGGAAGAUAUUGAUGAGAUGUUAAACAUAACCCAUAGAAGAAGAAUCUACAAGUCCGUACUGACGUAAAUAAAUAAACAGGCAUUGGGGAGAGACAGCUUUUCCUUACCAUAGAAUUCCAACUCAGCCGCAGAAUCCUGGUGGGAACCGUCAUCAAAGUCAACGGGAGCAGACACCACCAAACCCCAGAUCAAAGUCAGCAUCGCCAGCAACGGGCACACGGACACCAGGAAACUCCAUCAGCAUUGCUUUUGCUGUAUUCUUGACAAAAUUGUACAGUUUAAUUUUUUUUCUUUUUUCUUUCCUUUUUUUUUUUAGAGAUGGGGUCUCACUGUGUUGCCCAGGCUAGAGUACAGUGGUGUGAUCACAGCUCACUACAGCCUUCCGUGGCUGGGACUACAGGCACACACCACCACAUCUGGCUUGUUUUUUUGUUGUUGUUCUUGUUUUACUGUUUACUUUGUAGAGAUGGGGUGUAGCUAUAUUACCCAGUCUUGACUUCUGGCCUCAAGUGAUCCUCCCACCUUGGCCUCCCAAAGUGUUGGGAUUACAGAUGUGAGCCACUGUGCCCAGCUGUAUAAGUGGAAUUUAAUUAUGAGGAAAUCUACAGUGAAUCCAAAUUAAGGGAUAGUCCACAAAAUAACUGACAAUAUUCUUUAGAAGUGUCAAUGUCAUGAAAAAACAAAGACUGAGGAUUCGUCCCAGAUUGAGAGACUAAGGGGCCACGAGGACUAAACACAACAUGGGACCCUGGACUAGGAAAGGGUGAAACGGGGUUUCACCAUGUCGACCAGCCUGAUCUCAAACUCCCGACCUCAGCUGAUCCACCCACCUCGGUCUCCCAAAGUGCUGUGAUGAGUGCCCGUGAGCCACCGCGCCCAGCCUCAAAGCUAACUUUUGGGGACGUUGGAUGAAGAGUCCACAGGAACUUUUCUACUGUUUUUGCAACUUGUUAAAACCCUGUAAUUACUUCAAAAUGAAAAGUUAAAAAAUGAUCUUUUAAAAAAGAGUUAAUACUUGCAGUAUAUAAAGGACUCUUGAAAAUCAAUGAGAAGAUGAAUGUCCUGUGGAGAGCACAUGGGCCGCGAUGCUCCGGGAAAGAAUGGCACAGAGCACAAGAGAAACAGCUCACGGGCACCACUGAUUAGAGAAAUGCCAAGGCACUCAAUGACGGCCAAUGAUGGCGUUUGAAAACAUUAGACUGCAAACUAGUGUUUACACCGUAAGGGUGCUCUCGUGUUGCUGGGGAGAGGGGGACGAGCAUAGCUCGCCUGCAGAGCAGUUUGGCAACUUAUCAAAAGUCCAAGCUGUGACCUUUCUCUUUUUGACCCCUACGCUGGAUGUCUCCACCCCAAAGCCCCCUCCCAGUUUGUACCUGGAUACUGAACUGUAGGGACCCCCAGGACCUCUGGCUCUCAGCUGGUGCAGCCAAGGGGAGGCUGGGCAGGAGACCAGGUGGACGGCUCCCACCCAAAGGAUGCCCCAGGUUGGGGGACAGGGCAGGACACCCCCUGAUCUUGGAGGUAAAGUCAUGUCUUACCCCAACCCCAAAGGUGCCCUACAUGCCACCCAUGGGGUGAGAGUAAUAUGGCAGCCACUGCCUGUCUCACUGAUGUCCAGCCUGGACCAUCUGAGGGGAGGGGAGGGAACUCAGGAAGCAGAGGUCGUGCUGCUCUCUGGAUCCCCCCAUCCUGUCUCCACCCCUGUGUCAGGGGGUUUCGGGUACCCUGGGGCCCUGACAGCCAAUCCCACCAGGAGCAGGGCCAUUUCCUGCCCAUGAAACUCCUACUAGGACCUGUGGGACCCGAGGGUGACUAACAAAGCUGUCCCAGAUAACACCACCAUGGAAGGGGUUGGAGAGCAGGGCCGCCGCUUAGUCCAAAGGAACACAGACAUCUGAAGGAUGGAUUCUAGGCUGUGUGGGCUCCGCGACCUGAAAGGCAGCGCAUUGGAUAGGCCUGAUUCUGGUUCUGGUUAAAGGUGGAGAAGUCUCCCUGAGCCCAGGAGGCUGAGCGGAUCACAGGGGCACCUUGAGAGGGAAGAUCGAUUUUUAGGGUAUGGCCCAGCCUUCCCUCAGGGCUGAGCAGAUCCACAGUUUUGAGAACACGGCUGAAAGGCGGGCACACACUCACACACGCAUGCACACACACACCCC
RNAcentral lists this long non-coding RNA (4507 nucleotides) under Homo sapiens (human). RNAcentral describes it as "HSALNT0402367". The record is from RNAcentral. Lineage: Eukaryota; Metazoa; Chordata; Mammalia; Primates; Hominidae.